GUCGAGUUGUUUGGGAAUGCUGCUCAAAAUGGGAGGUAAACCCCUUCUAAAGCUAAAUACUGGCCAGAGACCGAUAGCGCACAAGUAGAGUGAUCGAAAGAUGAAAAGCACUUUGAAAAGAGAGUUAAAAAGCACGUGAAAUUGUUAAAAGGGAAGCGCUUGCGACCAGACUUGCGCCCGUCGGAUCAACCGUCGCUUGCGGCGGCGCACUCCGGCGGGCUCAGGCCAGCAUCAGUUCGUCCGGGGGGAGAAAGGCGGCGGGAAUGUGGCUCUUCGGAGUGUUAUAGCCCGCCGUGUAAUACCCUCGGGUGGACUGAGGACCGCGCGUAUGCAAGGAUGCUGGCGUAAUGGUCGUCAGCNACCCGUCUUGAAACACGG
This 378-nucleotide ribosomal RNA is filed under the name Scopulariopsis candida. RNAcentral describes it as "LSU rRNA". It matches the Rfam family "Eukaryotic large subunit ribosomal RNA", at positions 264 to 664 of the family's 3401-position model. The record is from RNAcentral. Lineage: Eukaryota; Fungi; Ascomycota; Sordariomycetes; Microascales; Microascaceae.